Molecule: long non-coding RNA, 5117 nt
Filed under: Oncorhynchus kisutch (coho salmon)
Lineage: Eukaryota; Metazoa; Chordata; Actinopteri; Salmoniformes; Salmonidae
Description: lncRNA (ENSOKIG00005048167.1)
Source: RNAcentral
AGCCAUCUUUUUCAUCAAAAUCAAAUCAAAUUUUAUUGGUCACAUGCAGAUGUUAUUGCGAGUGUAGCGAAAUGCUUGUCAUAGCUUGCAUCAGCUAUAAUAAAUCAAGAUUUAUUCACAAUCACAAUGACAUAAGAAGGCUUAGAAAUAAGAGUUUGGCAUUUUGAUAGAAAUGUCUACAUCAGGGUGACUGUCCUUACCUUAAGUGGUAUGGCCACCAAUGGAGUUUGCCUGUGGGUUUGUCUUCACCCCUCCAUCAACCUAUCAGGGGGAAGUCAAAAGGAAAUCACUAAUUGCAAUUAAACGUUCAGCUCCCCUCCCUCCCCCAAACAGAGCGUGUCCCUGCAGUCCUACCCCUCCAGCACCCUCCUCAGAAUCUCAAAAACAACAGCCCCCUUUCCAGAGCAGAAAAUCACAUGGUGAUUUUGGUGAGGUGAAGAGAGCUCCCAACUCCUCGCCACUGUUUGAGAAUGCAGCCUUCCAUCUUAGCUCUACUUCCUUCAUCCAUGCGAUCUCAAUCACCUGCUUACAUCCAGCCAAUCCCAGGCACCCCUUCCCUUCCAGUAACCAGAGGCUGACCUUCCGAAGGAGGAACCAGACAUUGGGGGUUAUCCAUGGGAUCCAGACUACUCAUACAUUAUCGCAGAAGGCAGUGGGGAAGGGAUGAAGCAUUUAAACACCACCGUCAACAGAUGACUGGUCAAUGUGCUUCAAAGAGACAUUCUUUGGUAGGCUUAAAGCUAGUAUAAUCAGACAAUACUGGCAUUCAUGCUAUCCACAUAUUAAGAUGCCAACAAAACAAAGACUCUUGCAUGUGAUGACAGACGAAGAUAUGGCAAAGAUUAUGAUGACAACCAGAGCAUGAAUUGCACAGUGACAUUCGAAGUGGUCUCUAUUGAGUGGAAAAAAUGUAUGGGCCUAAUAGUAAAGACAAUUUAACGGGAAAAAUAAUUUACCAUUUUAAUGUAGCAUGAACACAACAGUCAUGAUACUUUCAUCUAAUCACUUCAAAAAGUAGGCUUACCUACCUGUGCAUGUUCGUCCACACCAAAAUAAUCAAACAGUGCAAUGGAUGUACACUUGCGCAAUUAGAUUAAUGGAAUUAGAUAUCUGUUUACAAAACACCAAAAAGUGUGCCUAAUGACGUCGGACGAUUGUCAUUGAUUAGGCCUACGUUAAUUGAUGCAGCUUACUGACAAAUUCACCUUUUUUGUAUCCUGAAAAGUCGGGACACCCCCCAAAUGGGUCUGAAACUGUCCAGAGAAAACCGGGAUGGUCACCAUAAAACACACAGUCAUUUUACUGGACUAGGCUACAAUGUGUAGGCCUAUUACCAUGAACUUCAACUGGGGAUACCGGUAGCCAUUAAUGUAGUGGUAAAAAAAAAAAUUGGUGGCCAUUUUUCAAAAAAAAUGUGGGUAAACUGCGUUUACUUGUGUUCACCUUCCACUAGACCUACACCACUGCCGGUAGCCUACCUUCUCAGCAGAGGCAAUUUUACACACAUGAACACGUGCGGAACAGGUACCCUACAUUCAAUAUAAUACACCAGUUGAAUCAAAACAUGUUUGUACCAUAGUUCAUGAGUUGUCCAUAAUUCAUUAAUUGAAUGCUUGGAGUCUUCACAGAUCGUGUGACACAACACACUACUUUCCUUUCCUUACAUUGACAUUCAUGACAGUGUUAUUUGUAAUUAUUAGAACAUCAGAACAUUGAAGUUAAAACCUGUAUGAUUCCUGGAUCUUGGAAAUCUCUGAAAAUACACUGUAAGUGUAACUGUGCCUAUGUAACAUUUCAUUAUGUUUAGACGUAAAAACAGUUACCAAAAGAGUCAACUAUAGGCCUACUGUCAUUGAUGAUGGAUGGAUUGGAUGGAUUGGAUGCACAUUCGUGUCUAGCUGUAGGAUAGUUGUCUAGUGAUAUUGGCGGCCAUCAUCCGCUGAUCCAGGAAACAAAAUAUUGAUAGAAAAUAAUAAAGAAAAAUAAAUGGUAUACUUCUUAUGGCCACGGACGGCAUAGACAACACCAAUACCCGCGCGCACCUGAAAAACAAAGCAAUGAGCGCUCUAGACAGCUGACUGACAAAAGCAAACUGAUAAAGCAACAGAUACAUCUAAUGCAUUGGAAUAAAGGCUAUUUUUUAAAUCAAGGACGAAUGGCAAACAAACAGCAAAAAUGAGCAAGUACAAGGGAAAAUUGAUGCGUUUAAAGGAGCUCAGCUGAGGUCAAAUUCGGCGGAAUAUACAGACGGUAUAUACAGCCACAUAGAAGUAAAUGGUUUAAAUCAUGACAGAGUUGUUUAAUUUGGAAGCUUUUAUUUUCAUAUUUACCACUGUAAAACAUAUUUGCAUUUAGAGGAGCUAAUGUCUCAUUCAGGGCAGCUGAGCCUCCCCCGGCUCCCCCGUAAUUUGCACACUGAAGACAACCAGCGUUGACAUAUGACUCUCUAUACUUCUAGCUCCAUCCUUGCCACCAAGACCUUCCUUUGAGGUCCUGUACAGAAUCCCUAGUCUUGUUGCCGGAUUCUUACAUGCUGACCAGACCAGACACGUCGCGUGCGCGAGCGUUGCAAAAUAAAUUCAAUUAUUGUGUUAUUCAACUUGUGUCUGAUCGCAGUGCUCACCAUAAAGGGCUGCAUAGAAGGCUGCACGAUUAAUCGAAUUCAGAUUGAAAUUGAGAUAUUGGCAUGUGCAAUAUCCGUAUCGCGAGUGGCUGCAAUUUUCUCCUUUCUUUGACACUGUUAAUACAACAAAAAAUAGACUACAGUUCCUCCUUCACUGAGAAGCGCUGAAGUCCAUUCAUUCACUCUACAUGCACAUGGCCAAUCACAAGCGGGCUCUCUCACUCGCUGCAUGGCAUGCACAUGCUGGCCAAUCACAAGCGUCCCCGCUUAGAGCAUGCAGUUAGAUGCUGGUGAGGAGAGAAAAGGCAAAACCUCAGCGUGUGUGUCAGAAACACAAGUGUGGUAAGGCUAGAUUAAAAGAAUGUGAUAGGAAUGCCUCCAUAAUAAAUGUUGUUCUGUAUAAUCAAUAUUGUUUUGUUUUAAGUACAGUGGGGCAAAAAAGUAUUUAGUCAGCCACCAUUUGUGCAAGUUCUCCCACCAUAAUAUACAAAUAAAUUCAUUAAAAAUCCUACAAUGUGAUUUUCAGGAUUUUUUUCCCUCAUUUUGUCUGUCAUAUUUAUUUAUUUAUUUACCUUUAUUUAACCAGGUAGGCAAGUUGAGAACAAGUUCUCAUUUACAAUUGCGACCUGUCCAAGAUAAUGCAAAGCAGUUCGACAGAUAAAACGACACAGAGUUACACAUGGAGUAAAAACAAACAUACAGUCAAUAAUGCAGUAUAAACAAGUCUAUAUACAAUGUGAGCAAAUGAGGUGAGAAGGGAGGUAAAGGCAAAAAAGGCCAAGAUGGCAAAGUAAAUACAAUAUAGCAAGUAAAAUACUGGAAUGGUAGUUUUGCAAUGGAAGAAUGUGCAAAGUAGAAAUAAAAAAAUAAUGGGGUGCAAAGGAGCAAAAUAAAUAAAUAAAUUAAAAUUAAAUACAGUUGGGAAAGAGGUAGUUGUUUGGGCUAAAUUAUAGGUGGGCUAUGUACAGGUGCAGUAAUCUGUGAGCUGCUCUGACAGUUGGUGCUUAAAGCUAGUGAGGGAGAUAAGUGUUUCCAGUUUCAGAUUUUUGUAGUUCGUUCCAGUCAUUGGCAGCAGAGAACUGGAAGGAGAGGCGGCCAAAGAAAGAAUUGGUUUUGGGGAUGACUAGAGAGAUAUACCUGCUGGAGCGUGUGCUACAGGUGGGAGAUGCUAUGGUGACCAGCGAGCUGAGAUAAGGGGGGACUUUACCUAGCAGGGUCUUGUAGAUGACAUGGAGCCAGUGGGUUUGGCGACGAGUAUGAAGCGAGGGCCAGCCAACGAGAGCGUACAGGUCGCAAUGGUGGGUAGUAUAUGGGGCUUUGGUGAUAAAACGGAUUGCACUGUGAUAGACUGCAUCCAAUUUGUUGAGUAGGGUAUUGGAGGCUAUUUUGUAAAUGACAUCGCCAAAGUCGAGGAUUGGUAGGAUGGUCAGUUUUACAAGGGUAUGUUUGGCAGCAUGAGUGAAGGAUGCUUUGUUGCGAAAUAGGAAGCCAAUUCUAGAUUUAACUUUGGAUUGGAGAUGUUUGAUAUGGGUCUGGAAGGAGAGUUUACAAUCUAACCAGACACCUAAGUAUUUGUAGUUGUCCACGUAUUCUAAGUCAGAGCCGUCCAGAGUAGUGAUGUUGGACAGGCGGGUAGGUGCAGGCAGCGAUCGGUUGAAGAGCAUGCAUUUAGUUUUACUUGCAUUCAAGAGCAAUUGGAGGCCACGGAAGGAGAGUUGUAUGGCAUUGAAGCUUGCCUGGAGGGUUGUUAACACAGUGUCCAGAGAAGGGCCGGAAGUAUACAGAAUGGUGUCGUCUGCGUAGAGGUGGAUCAGGGACUCACCAGCAGCAAGAGCGACCUCAUUGAUGUAUACAGAGAAGAGAGUCGGUCCAAGAAUUGAACCCUGUGGCACCCCCAUAGAGACUGCCAGAGGUCCGGACAGCAGACCCUCCGAUUUGACACACUGAACUCUAUCAGAGAAGUAGUUGGUGAACCAGGCGAGGCAAUCAUUUGAGAAACCAAGGCUGUCGAGUCUGCCGAUGAGGAUAUGGUGAUUGACAGAGUCGAAAGCCUUGGCCAGAUCAAUGAAUACGGCUGCACAGUAAUGUUUCUUAUCGAUGGCGGUUAAGAUAUCGUUUAGGACCUUGAGCGUGGCUGAGGUGCACCCAUGACCAGCUCUGAAACCAGAUUGCAUAGCAGAGAAGGUAUGGUGAGAUUCGAAAUGGUCGGUAAUCUGUUUGUUGACUUGGCUUUCGAAGACCUUAGAAAGGCACGGUAGGAUAGAUAUAGGUCUGUAGCAGUUUGGGUCAAGAGUGUCCCCCCCUUUGAAGAGGGGGAUGACCGCAGCUGCUUUCCAAUCUUUGGGAAUCUCAGACGACACGAAAGAGAGGUUGAACAGGCUAGUAAUAGGGGUGGCAACAAUUUCGGCAGAUAAUUUUAGAAAGAAAGGGUCCAGAUUGUCUAGCCCGGCUGAUUUGUAGGGGUCCAGAUUUUGCAGCUCUUUCAGAACAUCAG